UACAGAGGGUGCGAGCGUUGUCCGGAAUCACUGGGCGUAAAGGGCGCGUAGGUGGUGGCUUAAGCGUGCGGUGAAAGCUCGGGGCUCAACCCCGAGUCGGCCGUGCGAACUGGGCUCACUGGAGCAUAGUAGAGGCAGGUGGAAUUCCGGGUGUAGCGGUGGAAUGCGUAGAGAUCCGGAAGAACACCGGUGGCGAAGGCGGCCUGCUGGGCUAUGGCUGACACUGAGGCGCGACAGCGUGGG
This 243-nucleotide ribosomal RNA is filed under the name uncultured bacterium. RNAcentral describes it as "partial 16S ribosomal RNA". It matches the Rfam family "Bacterial small subunit ribosomal RNA", at positions 524 to 765 of the family's 1533-position model. The record is from RNAcentral.